AUGGGCUCCAGGCUCCUGUGCUGUGUGGCUCUUUGUCUCCUGGGAGCAGGCCUGGUGGAUUCUGGAGUCACUCAGACCCCAGAAUACCUGAUCAAGUCAAGACAACAGCAAGUGACCCUGAGAUGUUCUCCUGUCUCUGGACACCUCUCCGUGUACUGGUACCAACAGGUCCUCGGCCAGGGCCCUCAGUUCCUUGUUCAGUAUUACGACAGGCAAGUGAGAGACAAAGGAAACCUCCCAGAACGAUUCUCAGGUCAACAGUUCAGUGACUCUAGCUCUCAGCUGAACUUGAGCUCCUUGGAGCUGCCGGACUCGGCCCUGUAUCUCUGUGCCAGUACCUGUGGCCCUGUGAAGUUGACACAAUACAUUAGCCAUAGCACCAACCUGCAGGGCUGCAGAUGGGGCAGGUUUCCUCUCCCCACCUCCCUGGCGUCAGCUCCCCGGCCCUCCCUACUGCAGCCUCGCUGCUCCGUCCUCAUCGGGGUCAUCUCUGUCAUGGUCUGA
This is a non-coding RNA of Hippopotamus amphibius kiboko, 504 nucleotides long. The record is from the annotation of a RefSeq genome assembly. Lineage: Eukaryota; Metazoa; Chordata; Mammalia; Artiodactyla; Hippopotamidae.